RNAcentral lists this ribosomal RNA (253 nucleotides) under uncultured bacterium. Its description in RNAcentral is "partial 16S ribosomal RNA". It matches the Rfam family "Bacterial small subunit ribosomal RNA", at positions 524 to 776 of the family's 1533-position model. The record is from RNAcentral.
UACGUAGGGUGCAAGCGUUAUCCGGAAUUAUUGGGCGUAAAGAGCUCGUAGGCGGUUUGUCGCGUCUGCUGUGAAAACUGGAGGCUCAACCUCCAGCCUGCAGUGGGUACGGGCAAACUAGAGUGCGGUAGGGGAGAUUGGAAUUCCUGGUGUAGCGGUGGAAUGCGCAGAUAUCGGGAGGAACACCAGUGGCGAAGGCGGUUGCCUGGGGCUUUGCUGACGCUGAGGAGCGAAAGCGUGGGGAGCAAACAGG